AGCAGCCGCGGUAAUUCCAGCUCCAAUAGCGUAUAUUAAAGUUGCUGCAGUUAAAAAGCUCGUAGUUGAAUUUCGGGACCAAUAUGUCGGUCGUGCCUCGGUACGUACUGGCAUCGUUGGUUUCUCCUUUCUGAAGAACCAUGAUGUCAUUUAUUUGGUGUCGUGGGGAAUCAGGACUGUUACUUUGAAAAAAUUAGAGUGUUUAAAGCAGGCUCACGCUUGAAUACAUUAGCAUGGAAUAAUGAAAUAGGACGUUUGAUUCUAUUUUGUUGGUUUCUAGGAUCGACGUAAUGAUUAAUAGGGAUAGUUGGGGGCAUUAGUAUUCAAUUGCCAGAGGUGAAAUUCUUGGAUUUAUUGAGGACUAACUACUGCGAAAGCAUUUGCCAAGGAUGUUUUCAUUAAUCAAGAACGAAAGUUAGGGGAUCGAAGACGAUCAGAUACCGUCGUAGUCUUAACCAUAAACUAUGCCGACUAGGGAUCGGAUGAUGUUAAUUUUUUUAAUGACUCAUUCGGCGCCUUA
RNAcentral lists this unclassified non-coding RNA (520 nucleotides) under uncultured Glomus. RNAcentral describes it as "SSU rRNA". It matches the Rfam family "Eukaryotic small subunit ribosomal RNA", at positions 569 to 1090 of the family's 1831-position model. Lineage: Eukaryota; Fungi; Glomeromycota; Glomeromycetes; Glomerales; Glomeraceae. The record is from RNAcentral.